AUGUUUCCUAGGGUUUAUGGGAGUUACGACCUGAAAGCCACAAGUUGCCCACUCCUGCACUACAAGCAGGUGCCAUUUGAGGAUGACAUGGGCAAAAUGAAGGCCCUAGUGCAGGGCUUUGCAAAGUGUGCGCUGCAGUUCCUUGACGCACCUUGGGGAGCUGCCAAACUCAGCUGGGGUGCCACAGAAUCUUCUCCGUUUCUUCACCAAGCCGGCAGUUCUGCUCCAGCUCCUUCAUGCUCCUUUGCCUCCAUAUUGGCCCCUCGCUGCUGCUCCUGCUCCAUCAUUGCUGCCACCGCUCAAGGAAACCCCAAGAUGAAAAUGUUUGGGAACCACUGCCUUAGAGGCUCACACUACUUCAUGCGUCUCCCUCCUUUUUAUGAGCCUCCUCCUCAUGCUGGACAUUCCAGCUGAAUACAUGAGAGGUCUCCCACCUCACCAGUCAACAUUAGCCUCAUUUCAGAGGAACAUGUGGAGAAGGAAUACCUGGCAAGUGGUUCAAGAACAAAAGAAGAGCUAGAUCAAAGCAAAUGCCCAGUUAGUUGAUUAUUCUGUUCUUAUGUAGCAAACCUGACACCUAUGGGGAGCCCACCAGCAACUUAUGAGUGUGACAGCCCCCCUAUACAUACAUUUGUUCUUCCCAGCAACUAAUAUACACAGGCAUGCUGCUCUCUGGUAUGAAAGAGAUUUUAUAUCUACUGUAAGCACUAUCUUCCAUAAAGUUAUCUGGUCUCCUUUUAAAGCCAUCCAGUUUGAUUGUUGUUGUUUAGUCCUUAAGUCGUCUCUGACUCUUCAUGACCCCCAUGGACCAGAGCACGCCAGGCCCUCCUGUCUUCCACUGCCUCCUGGAGUUGGGUCAAAUUCAUGUUGGUCGCUUCAGUGACACUGUCCAACCAUCUCGUCCUCUGUCGUCCCCUUCUCCUCUUGCCUUCACAUCUCCUGGUAGCCUUCACUAAAUCUUGUAGCAAUGAAUUCCACAGCUUAAGUAUCCAUUUGAAGAAGUAAAUCCUUUUAUUUAUCCAUUAUUUCCUACCUUUCAGGUUCAAUGCUUUUCGUGAACCCAGGUUCUACUGUUUUACACAGUAUAGCAAACUAGGGUGGCUGCUUCAUCUCAAGCCUAUCAGGCCCAGGGUCCCGCUAAUUGGUCUUAAUCUUGGCUCCACCUUCCAGUGUGUGCUAACCUACAUUUAGACACUGCAAAUGUUGCUUGAGAUACCCAGUGUGGUUUAGUGGAUAAAGUGAUAAGAGUAGGACUCAGGAGAUCUGGAUUAAAAUCUCUGCUUUGCCAUGGAAACUCACUGAGGAUGUGCAACUGGUAAAACCAUUCCUUAAAUAUCUCACUUACCUUUAAAGCCCUCUUAGGGUCACUAUAAGUCAGUUCCAACUUGACAGCACGUAACAACUCAAAACAGAAUUAUAUAAGGCAACCUUUAAGCCCUCAAAUGUGGUAAUUCUAACAUUUAAACGUUAUGUUUUCUGUAGAUGACUAUACUUGAGCCAGUUAUAGCACCAUUUUUAUUAUGUUAUUGUUAUUAUGGGAAUGAAGUGGGUGGUGGUUGUGGGGGUUUGCUUGUUUCCCUACUGUUCAGAGUAGUGUAAAUUCACUAAUUGUUCAGUAUAUAAAUUAUAUGCCGCCCAUCUAGACAUAGUCUACUAAAUUUAGAUAGACAGACAGACAGACAGACUGACUGACUGACUGUGACUGACUGACUGACUGACUGACUGAUUGAUUGAUUGAUUGAUUCUCUGUCAGGUGCCUGCCAGUUUUCAAAAGUAGUAGUCAAGUGAUAAAUGUUGAAAUACAGGAGCACAUCAGGGACAGUGCAUACCUAUACACAGACCAACUGUAACCUUUUGCCUUGAACUAGAAAUGGUUUUGCAAAUAAGCAUUAGCAAACUGCAAAUGUGAUGUACAAAGCCCAACAAAGAAAAGCUUCUGCUUGAUUGUAUUCCUUAUUUUCUUACUCAUUUUGUGCCAGCUAACUUGUCACAGACCAUAAUAAAACCUGAAAUCCUCACA
Pogona vitticeps (central bearded dragon) is the source of this 2020-nucleotide long non-coding RNA. Lineage: Eukaryota; Metazoa; Chordata; Lepidosauria; Squamata; Agamidae. The record is from Ensembl.